Molecule: ribosomal RNA, 508 nt
Filed under: uncultured bacterium
Lineage: Bacteria
Description: partial 16S ribosomal RNA
Rfam family: Bacterial small subunit ribosomal RNA
Source: RNAcentral
GACGAACGCUGGCGGCGUGCCUAAUACAUGCAAGUCGAACGCUUCUUCCCUCCCGAGUGCUUGCACUCAAUUGGAAAGAGGAGUGGCGGACGGGGGAGUAACACGUGGGUAACCUAUCCAUCAGCGGGGGAUAACACUUGGAAACAGGUGCUAAUAUCGCAUAACAGUUUAUGCCGCAUGGCAUAAGAGUGAAAGGCGCUCUCGGGUGUCGCUGAUGGAUGGAUCAGCGGUGCAUUAGCUAGUUGGUGAGGUAACGGCUCACCAAGGCAACGAUGCGUAGCCGACCUGAGAGGGUGAUCGGCCACACUGGGACUGAGACACGGCCCAGACUCCUACGGGAGGCAGCAGUAGGGAAUCUUCGGCAAUGGGCGAAAGUCUGACCGAGCAACGCCGCGUGAGUGAAGAAGGUUUUCGGAUCGUAAAACUCUGUUGUUAGGGAAGAACAAGGACGUUAGUAACUGAACGUCCCCUGACGGUAUCUAACCAGAAAGCCACGGCUAACUACGUG